GCCUUAGAGUUUGAUCCUGGCUCAGGAUGAACGCUAGCUACAGGCUUAACACAUGCAAGUCGAGGGGCAGCAUUUUUCUAGCAAUAGAAGAGAUGGCGACCGGCGCACGGGUGAGUAACACGUAUCCAACCUGCCGAUAACUCCGGGAUAGCCUUUCGAAAGAAAGAUUAAUACCGGAUGGCAUACGAAUAUCGCAUGAUAUUUUUAUUAAAGAAUUUCGGUUAUCGAUGGGGAUGCGUUCCAUUAGUUUGUUGGCGGGGUAACGGCCCACCAAGACUACGAUGGAUAGGGGUUCUGAGAGGAAGGUCCCCCACAUUGGAACUGAGACACGGUCCAAACUCCUACGGGAGGCAGCAGUGAGGAAUAUUGGUCAAUGGGCGAGAGCCUGAACCAGCCAAGUAGCGUGAAGGAUGAAGGCUCUAUGGGUCGUAAACUUCUUUUAUAUGGGAAUAAAGUUUUCCACGUGUGGAAUUUUGUAUGUACCAUAUGAAUAAGGAUCGGCUAACUCCGUGCCAGCAGCCGCGGUAAUACGGAGGAUCCGAGCGUUAUCCGGAUUUAUUGGGUUUAAAGGGAGCGUAGGUGGAUUGUUAAGUCAGUUGUGAAAGUUUGCGGCUCAACCGUAAAAUUGCAGUUGAAACUGGCAGUCUUGAGUACAGUAGAGGUGGGCGGAAUUCGUGGUGUAGCGGUGAAAUGCUUAGAUAUCACGAAGAACUCCGAUUGCGAAGGCAGCUCACUAGACUGUUACUGACACUGAUGCUCGAAAGUGUGGGUAUCAAACAGGAUUAGAUACCCUGGUAGUCCACACAGUAAACGAUGAAUACUCGCUGUUUGCGAUAUACAGUAAGCGGCC
Molecule: ribosomal RNA, 850 nt
Filed under: uncultured Bacteroidota bacterium
Lineage: Bacteria; Pseudomonadati; Bacteroidota
Description: bacterial SSU rRNA
Rfam family: Bacterial small subunit ribosomal RNA
Source: RNAcentral